Non-coding RNA from Schizosaccharomyces pombe (fission yeast), 979 nucleotides. The record is from the annotation of a GenBank genome assembly. Lineage: Eukaryota; Fungi; Ascomycota; Schizosaccharomycetes; Schizosaccharomycetales; Schizosaccharomycetaceae.
UGAGCUUACAAUAGAUAACGACGGAUAGCAAAAUCCCUUAUUUUAAUUCCUAAAUUUAUGAAAACUGAAAAAAUCGUGUAAAACAUAUCAACAUUAGCGAGUAAAACAGAGCAGAAAAAGCGAAUAGCCAGAGAAAGAUAUAAAAUAUAGGCAGAAUUAAUCUUCGGCUAAGUCAAGGCAAUUUCUAGGAUCUCCUAAAGCAUUUCGAACAAACUUAGUAUGCCUACCUUUAGCAAAGACCUCAUUAGAAGAUGUCAAAAAAUCAACGCUCGUAAAAGCAAUGUUUGAUCCUAAUCGAUCACACUUUGCGUGCAGUAAAAUUGAUGAACCUAAAGUACCACCACUUUGUAAAAAAGUUUGAUUCAUAUCUAUUGACACGCCAGAAAUAAAAAGCCCUCGACUGGCCAAUGCUAAACUUCCUCCCAAAUCAGUGAGUGCUGCAAUACAACCGCCAUGCAAAUUACCCAUACGAUUUAGGUGAUGCUUCUGCAGUUUCAGAGAGCAUUCUACAAAUCCUGGAACUGCACUUAUAAUUUGUAUAUCACUGACUACAUGAGCAUCAAACCCAUUGGUAUUUACAAAAUCCUGCCAAACAGAACGAACGAAAGAAAGCACCUUAGUACCAGAGCUAUUAAUUGCCAUUGUGUCUUAAAACUUCGUUUAACAGGUAUCAAUCACUGUAAAAGUAAGUACCUCAGGUGAAUUGGUUAUGUUGUGGCAGUUCUUGGCUACUCGCAGCAGCGAUACUUGUAGUUAGUAAGGAUUUACAAGCCAUUUGCCUGCCUAUAGUAAUAUCACCAAAUCAUUAUUACAAAUGGUAAUAUAAUUAAAUGAACAUUAAAUACAAGAAUAUGAAUAUUGUUUGGAUUAUUCAAAUAACGGAUAUUUUUUUUUUCUAAUGACGAGAAGAAGAAAUUCAUAAUUUGAACGUUAAAGAGUUGCAUCAUUAAAACUUGAAUUUCGUAUAAAUAUCCAACAC